UGGAGGGCUGGAAAUGUUCUUUGUCUUGUUCGAGAAGACUGCAGGCUUUCUUUCUCAUUUAACACAUUAAAAAUAAAUUUUUUCAAGGAUAUUGAAAGUUACACCAAAAAGAUUGUGUCAUAUAUUUUUGUUUUGUUUCUUGUAUUUUUUUUUUUCCUUAUUUCUGCAGUUGGGGUGGAUUUGGGUGAGAACAAAUCAGGAUAGGCCUUAGAAGAGAGAAUAAUCAAGGUGUCAUCGAAGUCUAACAACAAUAACAACAAAAACACAGGCCCAUUAUGGCAAUCCAACAGCAGAAUGGGAGGAUAAAAUAAUCAGAACUAGAGAAAGAAGAAAGAGAAAAGUGGAUUCUCAACUAGAAGCAAAAACAUCCACUGAAGUUUGUGAGAGUGCAAUAGGCAGUGCCACAGAUCUUUCUGAGGAAGUACUACCAUAUGACUUCACCUUCUCAGGCUGAGGUAUCAGCUUGACUGUCACUCCACAGAUCAAGACUAGAGGUAAAUGUAAACACUAUACAGGUGGGAUGAGAAACAGCUGUUCAGCUGCCUGGCUAGAAGAACAGGCCCAGUUCUUUGCUACAGGAUGGACAUGGAAAAGUUCAGGCAUUUGAAGUUACUGGCGUCAGCCACAUGAGAUUGAUGACGGGAUUGGCUUCUACAAGAGGUCCAUGUGGUUCUCAUUUCUGAAAACAGAUGUUUGGAAACCAAUGUUUUCAAAGAUAAUAUGAAACUACACCAAUAUGCUGCACUAUGGAGAAAAACUAACCUUGACAGAAGAAAAAAGAUUUUCUUGAGGCAGAAGAUGAAGGACUAUUGGUCGGGACAUUCACAGAAGUCUGUUCUGUAAGUUGGGUUAUAUGGAAGCAGAGAUGCUAGGUCAACCCAUGUUGUGCCCUCCCUCUUUUGGUAAGCAAAACACUGAUGCUUAUGACAUCUUCCUUUUCUUUGGUGGUGGCCUUGAAAAUUGUUAUUCCUUCCAGAAAGGGCUGGAUGUCACUCGCUUAUGAAUUUGAAUCCUUCUCUUUUUGCCAAAUGAUAGAACUGAGCUUGCUCCAUGAGCUUCAUGUGUGUAAACAUUAGUGGGGAUCCAAGUGGCUCUGCAGGUAGAAUAGACACUCAGGUCCCUCCUGCCCAAGUCCAGGGGCUUGCUUCCAUGAAUCCAAUCCUUUAGUUCAUAUCAGUUCAUGGUGUACCAGAAGCCUCAACACAUCUGCAAAUUUUUACAGAACAUGUUUGUGCAAGGAAAUAAAUUAGGUCACCAGGCCUUCAAAGGCUCCUUCCACUUAGGGGUGGUGGAGCCCAUGAAGCUGAGAAUCACCCUUGCCAGCUGUUGGAACUUGAAAUAAUCCUCCAAAAACCUCUUGCUAUUUUAGGAGGGUCAUCCUGGUGGGUCUGUGUAUGCUGUAAAAGAGUGGCUCACUAUUUAACCACCCAUCUCUACUGUGCUGAUUUAGGGACCACGAUCACUUGAGCUUUUCUUGGUGCCUGGGAUCUGUCUUUCUGCACAGGGAUAAUCUAGGCUUAUUUGUGGCUUUUUUCCCCUGCAUUUCCUUUACUUGCUCACUUUCCUUCUUUUCCUCACUAUGUUUCCAUUUGAAAUCAGUUUUCACAUAUGCAUUUCAGUGCAACUCUACCUUCAGGAACUUACUGGAUUACACAGGAAAUUCCUUAUAGUGUGUGACCAUCUGCACUGCAAACAAUUUUCAGGGAAUUGACUAGCUACUAAUACCACUUACAAAAAAUCUAAUAAGGGGUUUAACAUUUUCAUAAGGAAAAUUAAUAUUUAUAUUUUCUGUUUUGGUUGGGUUACAUUUUUACUAUUUUGAGAAAAAAAGUAUUGCAUUUUUAAAAAGUGAACAAAAAAAGCUCUCAUACAAUUGAAUGGUAUUGCCAAAAGAAAUUAAGAAGUCAGAAUUUGAUGAUUCAAUAUAUUAUAAAUAUAUUUUUGACCAUAGUCCUAAACUAUCAUCUGUCAAGUUGUAUUAUUUUGAGUACAUAAGUAUUUUUCAUGUUCUUAUUUGUUUUCUAUAAUGCCUCAUAACAUAUAUAGCUCUGUGAGUCUGUUCUUUCAGAAGAUCUUAUCUCUUGUUAGUUUUCAAGGAUUUCCAGGUUCACAGCAGCUGACUUUUUACUACACAUUUUAUGACUCUAAAACCAUUAGAAGAACAUCAAUGCUUCCCUAAAUUGGUUUUUUGGAGAAAAUGUAAUAUGUUUGAUGAAUUCAAAUAAAAAGAUGGAAACAUAACAGCAUAUUGGAUUACUUGUUAAUUUUUCUUUCUCAAAUGUUUUAUAUUGAAAGGAAUUGAUUUGUGGAGUACAUUUUCAAACCAAUUUCACCUUCGUUUCUAGAAAAACUACAUUUUGUCCUAGAAAGCUAUCGACAUUUCAUCAGAGGAAAUAGAUUCAGAAUUGCUGCCCAGUAAAAUCUUUUUUAGCGAUAGUUCUCUAUCUUUCACCAAAGACAAUGCAAUUGACCUUGGGUUGGAGGAUAAAAAGCUGCCAUUAUCAAGUGACAGAAUAACUGGUUGUCUUCCUCUGCUAGGUUUUUGGCAUCACAGAGUUCUCUGAGUCAAGCUUUCACAUAGAGAAAUAACUAAUCCAAUAACUAUAACAACUUAAAUUAUACAAUUACUUUAUCUUUGUCAAUUUAAACUGGUGAGUUUAUCAAAAACAAAAACGGAACUUCAAACACAUUUAGAGAUCAUAAGCAUAAGUGAAAUAAGACUUAAAGGUAUCUUACCAUCUAAAAUCAUCACAAGUCAAUUUCAUAUACCUUAAGAUGUUUAUCUCUGUGCCCUGCCUCAUUUCAGAACAGGAGGCCAGAAUCCAUUCAAAUUAAAAUAGUUUCAAAUAGCAAUUCAAAAACAAACCCAUUAAUUGUCUCUUUCCAAAUGAUUAUUAGAAAUGAGCUUCUUAAAUAGAAAAAAAAUCUAAACUCUAAAGCAAUCAU
This 2946-nucleotide long non-coding RNA is filed under the name Homo sapiens (human). RNAcentral describes it as "HSALNT0325682". Lineage: Eukaryota; Metazoa; Chordata; Mammalia; Primates; Hominidae. The record is from RNAcentral.